Molecule: ribosomal RNA, 468 nt
Filed under: uncultured bacterium
Lineage: Bacteria
Description: partial 16S ribosomal RNA
Rfam family: Bacterial small subunit ribosomal RNA
Source: RNAcentral
GACGAACGCUGGCGGCGUGCUUAACACAUGCAAGUCGAACGGAAAGGCCCUGCUUUUGUGGGGUGCUCGAGUGGCGAACGGGUGAGUAACACGUGAGUAACCUGCCCUUGACUUUGGGAUAACUUCAGGAAACUGGGGCUAAUACCGGAUAGGAGCUCCUGCUGCAUGGUGGGGGUUGGAAAGUUUCGGCGGUUGGGGAUGGACUCGCGGCUUAUCAGCUUGUUGGUGGGGUAGUGGCUUACCAAGGCUUUGACGGGUAGCCGGCCUGAGAGGGUGACCGGCCACAUUGGGACUGCGGUACGGCCCAGACUCCUACGUGAGGCAGCAGUGGGGAAUAUUGCACAAUGGGCGGAAGCCUGAUGCAGCAACGCCGCGUGCGGGAUGCCCGCCUUCGGGUUGUAAACCGCUUUCGCCUGUGACGAAGCGUGAGUGACGGUAAUGGGUAAAGAAGCACCGGCUAACUACGUG